GGGUGUGAGGGCAAUCUGACUGCGACAUGUCACCCCGUUGAUUGCCAGGGUUGAUUCGGCUGAUCUGGCUGGCGAGGUGGGUGUCCCUGUCCUCCCUCAAGGAUCCAUGUGCAUCCCUCCCGAAGCUGUGUGCUCAGUUGAAGAGGAUGACCACCCUGGAUAGAGGAGGACCGUUCCUUGGUCAAGGGUAUAUGAGUAGCCGCUCUCCCCUGCUAGAACCUCCAAAGAAGCUCUCAACACUAUGCAGUGUUAACUGGCGGUCAAGCUUAACACCAGCAGUGUGGAGUCUGU
Molecule: small nuclear RNA, 291 nt
Filed under: Octodon degus (degu)
Lineage: Eukaryota; Metazoa; Chordata; Mammalia; Rodentia; Octodontidae
Description: 7SK RNA (ENSODEG00000023672.1)
Rfam family: 7SK RNA
About the family: 7SK was discovered as an abundant small nuclear RNA in the mid-70s but a possible function has only recently been suggested. Two independent studies have found that 7SK RNA binds the CDK9/cyclin T complex (known as elongation factor P-TEFb).
Source: Rfam by way of RNAcentral